Molecule: ribosomal RNA, 250 nt
Filed under: uncultured bacterium
Lineage: Bacteria
Description: partial 16S ribosomal RNA
Rfam family: Bacterial small subunit ribosomal RNA
Source: RNAcentral
UACGGAGGGUGCAAGCGUUAUCCGGAAUCACUGGGUUUAAAGGGUGCGUAGGCGGUCCGAUAAGUCAGCCGUGAAAUCGCUGGGCUUAACCCAUGCAAUUGCGGUUGAUACUGUCGGACUUGAAUGGGGUUGAGGCUGGCGGAAUGCGACAUGUAGCGGUGAAAUGCUUAGAUAUGUCGCAGAACACCGAUUGCGAAGGCAGCCAGCUGGGCCUUUAUUGACGCUGAGGCACGAAAGCGUGGGGAGCAAA